RNAcentral lists this ribosomal RNA (414 nucleotides) under Triticum aestivum (bread wheat). RNAcentral's name for it is "partial small subunit ribosomal RNA". Lineage: Eukaryota; Viridiplantae; Streptophyta; Magnoliopsida; Poales; Poaceae. The record is from RNAcentral.
AUGCGAGCAAAGCCACAUCCUGCUCCAAUAGUCAAGGGCGAUAGUUUUGGGAAAUUCCAAUGUCCCAAGAACCAGUAUGAGAUCGAUCAAAUGAAAGCAGUACCAUCGGCAGUUGGCAGCUUACAGUAUGCACAAGUGUGCACUCGCCCUGACUUAGCUUUUAUCACCGGGGUACUCGGUAGAUAUCAAGAGAAUCCAGGCCUAGAGCACUGGAAGAUGGUAAAGAAAGCAUUGCAUUAUGCGCAAGGCACGAAGGACUACAUGCUAAUAUACAGGAGAAGUGAUUCCCUAGAGAUAAAAGGGUAUUCAGACGCAGAUUUUGCGGGGGGCAGAGAUGAUAGAAAAUCCACGUCAGGAUACGUCUUCACUCUCGCUGGGGAGCUAUUUCGUGGAAAAGCUCCAAGCAGUCGAUAG